UUUUUAGGGCUGCACCCUCAGCAUAGGGAGGUUCCCAGGCCAGGGGUCCAAUCGGACCUACAGCUGCGGGACUAUACCACAGCCACAGCAAUGCCAGAUCCGAGUCGCGUCUGCAACCUACACCACAGCUCACAGCAACAUCGGAUCCUUAACCCACUGAGUGAGGACGGGGAUGGAACCCGCAACCUCAUGGUUUCUUGUCCGAUUUGUUUCCACUGAGCCACCACAAGAACUCCCACCUUUUUUUUUUUUUUUUUGAUGGGUGCACCCGAGGGAUAUGGAAGCCCCCAGCCAGGGAUGGAACCCAAGCCUCAGCUACAACCUAUGCCAGAGGUGCGGCAAUGCUGGAUCCUUUCACUCACUGUGCCAGGCUGGGGACUGAACCAGCGCCUCUGCAGUAACUGGAGCUGCUACAGGUGGAUUCUGAACCCACUGCACCACAGUGGGAGUGCCCCGUUGCAUACAUUUCAAAAGUAAAAUGGACAGUUCAUGAACGUGCCUUACUGUCACUUGCCUUUUAAAACACAGAAGACCUGCCUUCAAGGCUUCAGGGGCUGGCGUCUCGUCGGGUGAGACUGCACCGAGCUGCCCUUCCCUCAGGGGGGCUCUGCCCCGUGACCACCACCCAGAGGGGAGCUGUCAGUCGGCUGGAUGGUCAUCUGGGGGAGGACAGGACAGACCACUGGCCACUCAAGGGAGCAGCAGGUGGGUCUGACCAAGAGACAGGUUUGCCUGAUGACACACGGAGACUCUGAGACCAGUUUAAGGUACGCCACGAGCACAAGGUCUAAAUCACAGAUGCUGGAGUUCCUGUCGUGGCACAGGGGUUAACGAAUCCGACUAGGAACCCUGAGGUUGCAGGUUCGAUCCCUGGCCUCGCUCAGUGGGUGAAGGAUCCAGCGUCGCCGUGACCUGUGGUGUAGGUCCCAGAUGCAGCUCGGAUUCCGCGUUGCUGUGGCUCUGGCACAGGCCGGCGGCUAGAGCACUGAUUAGACCCCUAGCCUGGGAACCUCCAUAUGCCCUGGGUGUGGCUCUAGAAAAAGCAAUCAAUCAUCAAUCAAUCAAUCAAUCACAGAUGCCGACAAAGGUCUGCACAGGCCUCCGAAGGAGAGCAGGGCUGAGAGCACUGCAGUCUGUGGGCCGGAGCGAGGACUCGGUGUGAUCCCGAGCUGGUUACCCUUGCCACGGAUCUGUUUUUGUUUGUUUGUUUUGCUUUUCAGGGCUGCACCUGCUGCAUAUGGAAGUUCCCAGGCUAGGGAUCGAAAUGGAGCUGCAGCUCCCGGCCUACGUCACAGCCACAGCCACGCGGGAUCUGAGCUGCCCUUCGACCUACACCACAGCUCGUGGCAACACCGAAUCCUUAAUCCACUGAGCCAGGCCAGGGAUGGAACUCGCCUCCUCAUGGAUGCUCGUCAUCCCGCUGAGCCCCCACGGGAAUUCCAUGGAUCAGCUUUUACAAAAGAAAAGGCACGGCAGAUGAGACAAGUGUGGAGCUAUGGAUGCCACACACACACCAGGGAGAAGGAUGUUGUGGGUAACAGUCAGUUAGGGUCGCGCAACCAGGCGGGUGAGGCAAGAGGCAACCACCGUGUUAUCGGGUGAAGGGGGCGGAGGCUUUAUCUGGGCUUGUUCUUGAGGCUGCCCCUUUGUGGGGGGGGGGAGUCUGUACAUUUCAGUUUCCUGAUCUAAACUAACGGGUAACAGCUACCUCGCAAGGCAGUCCUGGGGAUUACGGCUGAUGUGCACGAAACAACCCUGGCCUGGCCACACAUCAUUUCCGAGGCUUUGCUGUUAGGGGGAGGGGAGGCAUCCUCUCCUGACAGCAAAACAUAACCGUUUCACACAGGAAACACCUCUGCUUGGACAAGUUAAGAAAGACUUCAUAGGUAAUCCUUUAAUUACAGACAUUCUAGUUUAAUCUCAAAAUGAGAAACCGGACCAUUAAAAUUGCAUGGGAAGAGCCUCAUGAGUCACAGUACACGGUAAAUACAGCACAAUACAAACUGUCAUCCGGGGUGUUCCUGCUGUGGCACAACAGGACUGGCAGCUCCUCUGGAGCACUGGGACACAGGUUCGAUCCCCAGCACAGCACAGUGGGUUAAGGAUCCCUCACUGGCCGCAGCUGUGGUGCAGGACGCAACUGUAAGUCGGAUCUGAUCCUUGGACCGGGAGCUCCAUAUGCCACCAGGCGGGCAAAAAAAAAAAAAAAAAAAGGAACAAAAAUUGUUAUCCAGAAUACAACUUCUUUUUCAGUUAAUUAAAAAAAAUAGAUGUGGGAGUUCCCACUGUGGCACAGUGGAAACAAAUCCGACUAGUAUCCAUGAAAAUGGGGGUUUGAUCCCUGGCCUCACUCAGUGGGUCGGUUAUCCGGCGUUGCUGUGGCUGUGGUGCAGCUCACAGCAACGCCAGAUCCUUAACCCACUGAGCGAGGCCAGGGAUCGAACCUGCAACCUCAUGCUUACUAGUCAGAUUCAUUUCCUCUGCGCCACAACGGGGAACUCCACAUCAUGUGAUCAUUUUAAAUAGAGAGACAAAGUCUCACCUUAGAUAAAUCCCACCUUGUCCCCUUACCCCAGCCUCACUGCGCUUUAGUCACUGAUUCAACAAACACCUGUGGAGCAUUCACUCCAGCCCAGGACCAAUGCAGGCAUCUCAGGCCGGAGCCCUGGAGAGGCACCAUCAGCAUCCUGUCAGGCGGGUGGUCAGCCCAGGAGCCAGUGCGGAGGCCUGACCUCAAGUUCUAGGUCUGGGACUGAGCACAGAGCACCCAUCCUGUGUGAGCGAGGGGCACUCAAGAACAAAAAGGGCUGAGAGAGACCCAGUGCACUGACAGAACGAACGAAAACCAAGAAAAUAAACU
This 2860-nucleotide long non-coding RNA is filed under the name Sus scrofa (pig). RNAcentral describes it as "lncRNA (ENSSSCG00025068808.1)". The record is from RNAcentral. Lineage: Eukaryota; Metazoa; Chordata; Mammalia; Artiodactyla; Suidae.